Molecule: ribosomal RNA, 612 nt
Filed under: Zebrasoma xanthurum
Lineage: Eukaryota; Metazoa; Chordata; Actinopteri; Acanthuriformes; Acanthuridae
Description: partial small subunit ribosomal RNA
Rfam family: Bacterial small subunit ribosomal RNA
Source: RNAcentral
GUUGUUAGACACCGGCGUAAAGAGUGGUUAAGUACUAUUACUUACUAAAGCCGAACACCUUCAAAGCUGUUAUACGCACCUGAAGAUAGGAAGUUCAACCACGAAAGUGGCUUUAUAUUUACUGAACCCACGAAAGCUAGGGCACAAACUGGGAUUAGAUACCCCACUAUGCCUAGCCUUAAACAUUGAUGGCACCCUACAACUGUCAUCCGCCCGGGUACUACGAGCACCAGCUUAAAACCCAAAGGACUUGGCGGUGCUUUAGACCCACCUAGAGGAGCCUGUUCUAGAACCGAUAACCCCCGUUCAACCUCACCCUUCCUUGUUUUACCCGCCUAUAUACCACCGUCGUCAGCUUACCCUGUGAAGGUCUAAACAGUAAGCAAAAUUGGCAUAGCCCAAAACGUCAGGUCGAGGUGUAGCGUAUGGAAGGGGAAGAAAUGGGCUACAUUCCCUAAUUCAGCGCAUACGAACGACACACUGAAAUACGUAUCCGAAGGAGGAUUUAGCAGUAAGCAGAAAAUAGAGUGUUCCACUGAAACCGGCCCUGAAGCGCGCACACACCGCCCGUCACUCUCCCCGAACUUACAUUCACAAGUAAAUAAAACCCUA